UUCUGGCCAAUUGACUAUGAUCACAACUCUAUUUCUGAAGUACAAUAAUGAAAGAUUUAUACAAUGGAUGAGCCUAAGUCUAUUAGUAUAUAGCAUAAAUCAAAAGCAGUAAGGUAUAGUGAGCUCAUUUGAGUAUGAAUUUUUAAUACAAAUGGAUUAUUGGAAUUAUUGCUUUCCAAGUAGGGAUAUAUCCGCUAACAUCAUUCAGAAGAUGUGGAGACUUGAUCAAAAUAUUUUAUGAUUGAAAACUAAAAAUCAAAAUAACUUUUUGAUUUUAAAAAUUAAGUUCAAAGUGAUUCAAAAUUGAGUGAAAAAAUAAUUGAGCUCCUCUCUAACUAAACACGGAUUGUUUUAGUAGUUGUAUUUGAAAACCAAUGUUUAAAACCAUGCAACAACCUCAAACUGGUCUAUUCCUAAAGUGUUUGUCAACCAAUUAUGUUUUCCUUGGUUAUCAAACUCAAGUUUUAACUCCCAAAAAUGUACAAACUCAUGCCUGUGCGUCUUGUACGAGUUGACUUGUAGAAUUGAAUUUGAGGGUUUGAGUGGGCUCGAUGUAAACACCGGUGAACUUGUCAGGAAGUCACAUUCUAAUUGGCGAGUUCAGCUUCUUUUUUUAUUAUUUGUUUGAUUGAAAACGAGGAAGCAUUAUGUCAUUUAGAUUGCAAAGAUAAGAGAAAGGAGAAGAAUAGGGUUCUUGGCUAUCCCAUUUCUUUGUUAUUUCUCUUUGUUGUUGCUAGUGGAAAUUGGGGACAGCUGCUGCUCUCAUCAUUAUGCCAUUCUCUGUAUUGAGGCUGAAGCAAGCGGCAACAACAUCUUCUCCCUGCAAUGUUGUGGAUUAUGAAUGUGUUGAAGUUGCACAAUCAUUCUUAUUCUCUCUGCUGUGCACAAUUUGAAACUCAAUCUUAUUUGAAGAUAUCUCUCUUUUCUUAGUUGUUUUAAUUUUAUCGUAUUAAGAACUUACGCCUUGUAUGAGCUUAUGUUUUACUUGGUGUUGCUUUAUUAUUAAGGUUUAAUAUUUUGCAUUAUUAUAUAAUUAAAAUGAUCAAUCGUCAUGUUAUUUAUAGGUAUUUUAAUAGUAUCCUAUAUGAAGUAAACCCUUAUUUACAAUUCGAGUUUACAAGUUUACAAACAUUAAUGAGCUUAUUUAAGCUCUGGUUUUCAGCUACGUUUUUUGUUUAACCUUUUAAGAGACAAUUUUGAACAAUUACUAGACUAUUUUUUUAAGAAGCUUAUGGUACACUAAGCUCUUCAUGAACAUGCAUAAUUGAAUGAGUACUGUCAAGGAUCAUGUGCCAUUGUUAUCUAAAGAGACAGGUGACUAGUUCAGGCAUAUAUUUUUUGACACUGAAGGAGUUUGAUCUUAAUGAUGCGGGGUUGAUG
Vigna radiata var. radiata (mung bean) is the source of this 1380-nucleotide long non-coding RNA. RefSeq lists it as uncharacterized. The record is from RefSeq and is a predicted model, not a curated record. NCBI's taxonomy places the organism in Eukaryota, Viridiplantae, Streptophyta, Magnoliopsida, Fabales, Fabaceae. The transcript is spliced from 2 exons.